CCAGCAUGCACAGUAUUAUAAUAUGGAGACUAUUGGAGCAGUUAUCGUUUUACACUCAGGGAACAGUAUGAGUAGGUAUCGUUUUACACUCAGGGAACAGUAUGGGUAGGUAUCGUUUUACACUCAGGGAACAGUAUGAGUAGGUAUCGUUUUACACUCAGGGAACAGUAUGAGUAGGUAUCGUUUUACACUCAGGGAACAGUAUGAGUAGGUAUCGUUUUACACUCAGGGAACAGUAUGGGUAGGUAUCGUUUUACACUCAGGGAACAGUAUGAGUAGGUAUCGUUUUACACUCAGGGAACAGUAUGAGUAGGUAUCGUUUUACACUCAGGGAACAGUAUGGGUAGGUAUCGUUUUACACUCAGGGAACAGUAUGAGUAGGUAUCGUUUUACACUCAGGGAACAGUAUGAGUAGGUAUCGUUUUACACUCAGGGAACAGUAUGAGUAGGUAUCGUUUUACACUCAGGGAACAGUAUGAGUAGGUAUCGUUUUACACUCAGGGAACAGUAUGAGUAGUUAUCAUUUUACACUCAGGGAACAGUAUGAGUAGGUAUCGUUUUACACUCAGGGAACAGUAUGAGUAGGUAUCGUUUUACACUCAGGGAACAGUAUGAGUAGUUAUCAUUUUACACUCAGGGAACAGUAUGAGUAGGUAUCGUUUUACACUCAGGGAACAGUAUGAGUAGGUAUCGUUUUACACUCAGGGAACAGUAUGAGUAGGUAUCGUUUUACACUCAGGGAACAGUAUGAGUAGGUAUCGUUUUACACUCAGGGAACAGUAUGAGUAGGUAUCGUUUUACACUCAGGGAACAGUAUGAGUAGGUAUCGUUUUACACUCAGGGAACAGUAUGAGUAGGUAUCGUUUUACACUCAGGGAACAGUAUGAGUAGGUAUCGUUUUACACUCAGGGAACAGUAUGAGUAGGUAUCGUUUUACACUCAGGGAACAGUAUGAGUAGGUAUCGUUUUACACUCAGGGAACAGUAUGAGUAGGUAUCGUUUUACACUCAGGGAACAGUAUGAGUAGGUAUCGUUUUACACUCAGGGAACAGUAUGAGUAGGUAUCGUUUUACACUCAGGGAA
Long non-coding RNA from Oncorhynchus keta (chum salmon), 1083 nucleotides. RefSeq lists it as uncharacterized. The record is from RefSeq and is a predicted model, not a curated record. The transcript has 7 exons. NCBI's taxonomy places the organism in Eukaryota, Metazoa, Chordata, Actinopteri, Salmoniformes, Salmonidae.